Molecule: transfer RNA, 66 nt
Filed under: Vibrio cholerae
Lineage: Bacteria; Pseudomonadati; Pseudomonadota; Gammaproteobacteria; Vibrionales; Vibrionaceae
Also listed under: 1 other name
Description: tRNA-Met
Rfam family: tRNA
About the family: Transfer RNA (tRNA) molecules are approximately 80 nucleotides in length. Their secondary structure includes four short double-helical elements and three loops (D, anti-codon, and T loops).
Source: RNAcentral
GGGGUGGAGCAGCUUGGUAGCUCGUCGGGCUCAUAACCCGAAGGUCGUCGGUUCAAAUCCGGCCCC